AGCAAAGCCAAGCCAAGAGAAAACUCUGUUUCCUCUGUUUCUGUUCUCUUCCUCUGCUUAUUUCUCCAGUCCCAUUCUCUCCUCUUCUCCUUCUUUUUCUAUUGCAGAAUUGAAUGUUAGAUUGCAAGCAUAUAGCAUGGCAGUAUCAACGGAGGGGUGGCCAGAGGGACUCAGAUUCAAACCAACGGAGGACGAAUUCAUUGGUCAUUGAUUGACGAAAAAACUCAAAGGAGAAAUGGAAACCAAAUGCGUAAUUCCCGAGCUAUACAUCUGCAACUGGGAGCCUUCGGAUUUAUUUAUCCUAUGUGAUGACAACUUACAUUUAGCCCUUAGUGUUUUUAUAUUUCUCUAUGCUCUUAUGAUAUGGAAAUUGGUAGUUGCCUAUAACACCUUAGUGAACUAACAUUAAACAUUAGUUGCUUGUAUCAUUAUCAAGUGGACCAUUGGAUUAACGCAAGAGUUUCUUCUUUUGUCCCCGUGGUUGUAAGAGGAAGACCGAGUGCAGAUUUUGGAAAGAGACAAGUUACAGACACGUUACAUGAGCACCAGACACCGCUAAGCCAAUGGGGACCAAGAGGAUUUUGGUUUACUAUGAAGAUGGCGUUGGUUCUCUGUCAGCAUAAUAAACAGGAAAAGUAAGAAAGCAAAGUCAGCGAAAGCGAGUACGUCAACCGAUUUAAGCGGCCUUAAUAAGCUGAAUGAUUCCCAAAAUGAAGGAACACAAGCAAUUAGUGCACGGUGAGCAAAUAGUUACUAUUGAACUGGACAUUCUGAACGACACAUCGAAUUCUAAUUUACCAGACCGGACUGUACCUACUCCUAAUUAGCAGCCUCGACCGUGCAAAGAGCAACUCUUGUCUUAUGAUGACCAUCAGCAUGUCGACGGACCUAGUGACAGACCUUGCUACAUGCCAUUAACUCCGAGCGACGGUAUCGAUCUCUUGGAUCUCUUGAACUUUGACAAGAGGACGGAUUAGUAUGAUAAACCGCACUGCAUGUGUAGAUUUUGGUGUAAAAACCAGUGUUGAAUUAUUGCAAUGGAUUGCCUGUGUUUGAGGACUUUUAUAGAUGUUAAUCUCAGCUUGCUUAUUAUAUCAGUGAUAAUGCU
Molecule: long non-coding RNA, 1108 nt
Organism: Syzygium oleosum
Lineage: Eukaryota; Viridiplantae; Streptophyta; Magnoliopsida; Myrtales; Myrtaceae
Exons: 3
Source: RefSeq, a predicted model, not a curated record